This 1346-nucleotide ribosomal RNA is filed under the name metagenome. Its description in RNAcentral is "bacterial LSU rRNA". It matches the Rfam family "Bacterial large subunit ribosomal RNA", at positions 1594 to 2925 of the family's 2925-position model. The record is from RNAcentral.
GUGAUCCUAUGCUGCCGAGAAAAGCCUCUAGUGAGUUCAUACACGGCCCGUACCCCAAACCGACACAGGUGAUCAGGUAGAGAAUACCAAGGCGAUCGAGAGAACUGUGGUUAAGGAACUCGGCAAAAUGCCCCCGUAACUUCGGGAGAAGGGGGACCAUGCCCGGUGAACAUCUUCACGGUGGGAGCUGGGUGUGGUCGCAGAGACCAGAGAGAAGCGACUGUUUACUAAAAACACAGGUCCGUGCGAAGACGUAAGUCGAUGUAUACGGACUGACGCCUGCCCGGUGCUGGAAGGUUAAGAGGACCGGUUAGCCGUAAGGCGAAGCUGAGAAUUUAAGCCCCAGUAAACGGCGGUGGUAACUAUAACCAUCCUAAGGUAGCGAAAUUCCUUGUCGGGUAAGUUCCGACCUGCACGAAUGGCGUAACGACUUCUCUGCUGUCUCGACCACAGACUCGGCGAAAUUGCACUACGAGUAAAGAUGCUCGUUACGCGCGGCAGGACGAAAAGACCCCGGGACCUUUACUAUAGCUUGGUAUUGGCGUUCGAUUCGGUUUGUGUAGGAUAGGUGGGAGACUGUGAAGCAUGCACGCCAGUGUGUGUGGAGUCGUUGUUGAAAUACCACUCUGAUCGUAUUGGACGUCUAACCUCGGCCCAUGAUCUGGGUUAGGGACAGUGCCUGGUGGGUAGUUUAACUGGGGCGGUUGCCUCCUAAAGAGUAACGGAGGCGCCCAAAGGUUCCCUCAGCCUGGAUGGCAAUCAGGUGUUGAGUGCAAGUGCACAAGGGAGCUUGACUGUGAGACUGACACGUCGAGCAGGGACGAAAGUCGGGACUAGUGAUCCGGCACCGGCAAGUGGAAGCGGUGUCGCUCAACGGAUAAAAGGUACCCCGGGGAUAACAGGCUGAUCUUCCCCAAGAGUCCAUAUCGACGGGAUGGUUUGGCACCUCGAUGUCGGCUCGUCGCAUCCUGGGGCUGGAGUAGGUCCCAAGGGUUGGGCUGUUCGCCCAUUAAAGCGGCACGCGAGCUGGGUUUAGAACGUCGUGAGACAGUUCGGUCUCUAUCCGCCGCGCGCGUAAGAAACUUGAGGAAGGCUGUCCCUAGUACGAGAGGACCGGGACGGACGAACCUCUGGUGUGCCAGUUGUUCCACCAGGAGCAUGGCUGGUUAGCUACGUUCGGAAGGGAUAACCGCUGAAAGCAUCUAAGCGGGAAGCCUGUUCCAAGAUGAGGUUUCUCACCACCUUGCGUGGUUAAGGCCCCCUACAGACCAUGGGGUUGAUAGGCCGGAACUGGAAGCGCAGCAAUGCGUGGAGGUGACCGGUACUAAUAGGCCGAGGGCUUAGAA